Molecule: ribosomal RNA, 293 nt
Filed under: uncultured bacterium
Lineage: Bacteria
Description: partial 16S ribosomal RNA
Source: RNAcentral
GGACUACUCGGGUAUCUAAUCCCGUUUGCUCCCCACGCUUUCGUGUCUCAGCGUCAGUGAUGGCCCAGCAAGCCGCCUUCGCCACCGGUGUUCUUCCUGAUAUCUACACAUUCCACCGCUACACCAGGAAUUCCGCUUGCCUCUACCAUACUCAAGCUGAACAGUUUCCAGCGACCCCUUCCCGUUAAGCGGUGAAGAUUUCACGCCAGACUUAUCCAGCCGCCUACACACCCUUUACGCCCAGUAAAUCCGAACAACGCUUGCCCCCUCCGUAUUACCGCGGCGGCUGGCAC